UGCUGUAGGCACGCUCUACAGUCAAGACUUCAUUCAAGAGGCCUGCGUAGAGGACACCCCAGCCACACCAGGUUCUCACUCCAGAUAUUACUCACCAGCGAAUGUCCACAAGCCUGAUGUGAUCUCACUGUGUCUUUCCCUGAGAACAAAUGUGGGAACACAGCCUUCUCAAUACCAUAGCUCACUAAUCCACCAGAAACAUGCAGAAUGGCAGAUGGACUUUCCAAAGAGAGAAAUGAGCUGUGUUCAAUGAUUACUUAUAAACAGUUGUGAAGAUAA
Molecule: long non-coding RNA, 279 nt
Organism: Peromyscus leucopus (white-footed mouse)
Lineage: Eukaryota; Metazoa; Chordata; Mammalia; Rodentia; Cricetidae
Exons: 2
Source: RefSeq, a predicted model, not a curated record